Molecule: long non-coding RNA, 465 nt
Organism: Suricata suricatta (meerkat)
Lineage: Eukaryota; Metazoa; Chordata; Mammalia; Carnivora; Herpestidae
Exons: 3
Source: RefSeq, a predicted model, not a curated record
CGGAACUGAUGGGAGACUGUGCCGGGGUCCAGCUCACACAGCCCCCUCCCAGCUCGCCCUCCUUGGAGCCUCUUAAGGCACUCCCUGCCCACAGACCGACAGCCUCCAUGUUCAGAGAAAGGUUUUCAACAGCAACCAUGGCUGAAGCUUCUGCAAAACCCAGUGGCUCCGGGAGACUCCCUUGCCAGGCCAACAAGCCUGCCUGGGCCUGGGUCUGCCCUGCGGGCUCCCUCUGUCUGCGCUCCUGGCCAGGCAGGGUGGGUCGGGGCAGACGGGGUCUCAGCAGUGGACACAACGUUCUGGUUCAGCGGAAGGACCUUAAACUCCGAGACAAGGGCACGGCAGUAAAGGAUGAGGUGGCCGAACCCCCCAGUUCUGCGGCGAGCAGACCCCAGGUUCUGGACUCAUCCUGGCGGAGUGGAGGACAUCACUCGUAGGGCUGACUGCUCCAUGAUAUAAAAAAAU